RNAcentral lists this ribosomal RNA (989 nucleotides) under Thermotoga sp. enrichment culture. RNAcentral's name for it is "bacterial SSU rRNA". It matches the Rfam family "Bacterial small subunit ribosomal RNA", at positions 401 to 1381 of the family's 1533-position model. The record is from RNAcentral. Lineage: Bacteria; Thermotogati; Thermotogota; Thermotogae; Thermotogales; Thermotogaceae.
GAGAACGAAGCCCUUCGGGGGUGUAAACUCUGUUGUGAGGGACGAAUAAGAUCUGAGAAAUGCCAGAUCGAUGACGUACUCACGAGAAAGCCCCGGCUAACUACGUGCCAGCAGCCGCGGUAAUACGUAGGGGGCGAGCGUUACCCGGAUUCACUGGGCGUAAAGGGGGCGCAGGCGAUCCAGUAUGUCGGGUGUGAAAUCCCACAGCUCAACUGUGGAAUUGCGCCCGAAACUACUGGGUUUGGGGCUGGUAGAGGGAGACGGAACUGCUGGUGUAGGGGUGAAAUCCGUAGAUAUCAGCAGGAACGCCGGUGGGGAAGCCGGUCUCCUGGGCCAAGCCCGACGCUGAGGCCCGAAAGCUAGGGGAGCAAACCGGAUUAGAUACCCGGGUAGUCCUAGCCGUAAACGAUGCCCACUAGGUGUGGGGGAGUCAUUCCUCCGUGCUGUAGCUAACGCGUUAAGUGGGCCGCCUGGGGAGUACGCCCGCAAGGGUGAAACUCAAAGGAAUUGGCGGGACCCCGCACAAGCGGUGGAGCGUGUGGUUUAAUUGGAUGCUAAGCCAAGAACCUUACCAGGGCUUGACAUGCAGGUGGUACCAACCCGAAAGGGAAGGGACCCUUUCCUUUUGGAAAGGGAGCCUGCACAGGUGGUGCACGGCCGUCGUCAGCUCGUGCCGUGAGGUGUUGGGUUAAGUCCCGCAACGAGCGCAACCCCUGCCCUUAGUUGCCAGCGGUUCGGCCGGGCACUCUAAGGGGACCGCCGGCGACGAGCCGGAGGAAGGAGGGGACGACGUCAGGUACUCGUGCCCUUUAUGCCCUGGGCUACACACGCGCUACAAUGGGUGGUACAGUGGGUCGCGACCUCGCGAGAGGGAGCCAAUCCCCAAAACCAUCCUCAGUUCAGAUCGCAGGCUGCAACCCGCCUGCGUGAAGCCGGAAUCGCUAGUAAUCGCGGAUCAGCCAUGCCGCGGUGAAUACGUUCCCGGGGUU